RNAcentral lists this ribosomal RNA (253 nucleotides) under uncultured bacterium. Its description in RNAcentral is "partial 16S ribosomal RNA". It matches the Rfam family "Bacterial small subunit ribosomal RNA", at positions 524 to 776 of the family's 1533-position model. The record is from RNAcentral.
UACGAAGGGUGCAAGCGUUGCUCGGAAUUAUUGGGCGUAAAGGGUAGGUAGGUGGUUACGUAUGUCUGGGGUGAAAUCCCUGAGCUCAACUCAGGAAGUGCCUUGGAAACGGCGUAACUAGAGUGCUGGAGAGGUUCGCAGAAUUCCCGGUGUAGCGGUGAAAUGCGUAGAGAUCGGGAGGAAUACCAGAGGCGAAGGCGGCGAACUGGACAGCUACUGACACUCAACUACGAAAGCGUGGGGAGCAAACAGG